This 460-nucleotide ribosomal RNA is filed under the name uncultured bacterium. RNAcentral describes it as "partial 16S ribosomal RNA". It matches the Rfam family "Bacterial small subunit ribosomal RNA", at positions 338 to 795 of the family's 1533-position model. The record is from RNAcentral.
CCUACGGGAGACAGCAGUGAGGAAUAUUGGUCAAUGGGCGCGAGCCUGACCCAGCCAAGUAGCGUGAAGGAUGAAUGCCCUACGGGUUGUAAACUUCUUUUAUCAAGGAAUAAAGUGAGGCACGUGUGCCUUUUUGUAUGUACUUUAUGAAUAAGGAUCGGCUAACUCCGUGCCAGCAGCCGCGGUAAUACGGAGGAUGCGAGCGUUAUCCGGAUUUAUUGGGUUUAAAGGGAGCGUAGAUGGGUUGUUAAGUCAGUUGUGAAAGUUUGCGGCUCAACCGUAAAAGUGCAAUUGAUACUGGCAGUCUUGAGUACAGUUGAGGUAGGCGGAAUUCGUGGUGUAGCGGUGAAAUGCUUAGAUAUCACGAAGAACUCCGAUUGCGAAGGCAGCUUACUAAACUGUCACUGACAUUGAUGCUCGAAAGUGUGGGUAUCAAACAGGAUUAGAUACCCCGGUAGUC